GCGCGGGUGGCGGAAUUGGUAGACGCGCUACUUUGAGGUGGUAGUGCCUUUUUAGGCGUGGAGGUUCGAGUCCUCUCCCGCGCA
Molecule: transfer RNA, 84 nt
Filed under: Pseudomonadota bacterium
Lineage: Bacteria; Pseudomonadati; Pseudomonadota
Also listed under: 1 other name
Description: tRNA-Leu
Rfam family: tRNA
About the family: Transfer RNA (tRNA) molecules are approximately 80 nucleotides in length. Their secondary structure includes four short double-helical elements and three loops (D, anti-codon, and T loops).
Source: RNAcentral